This is a long non-coding RNA of Lepisosteus oculatus (spotted gar), 548 nucleotides long. RefSeq lists it as uncharacterized. The record is from RefSeq and is a predicted model, not a curated record. NCBI's taxonomy places the organism in Eukaryota, Metazoa, Chordata, Actinopteri, Semionotiformes, Lepisosteidae.
GUCGGAGAGCUUUUCAGAGAGAACUAGUUGAAUAUUGCCCAGAUUGUAACCUGAUCAUCAGGUUAGAACAUAAUGCAAAUUUAGCAAAACAGUAUUUAAAUAACCCCGACUCAAUAUCAGGUAGAAACCCAAGUAUACGCUGCAUCGGGUUCAAUAACAUUGAAAUACAAAGGAAGAGAGCAAUCGGUGCCUAGGUAGACGCAUCCAAGAGCAGGGGGAUACGUAGCUGGCCCGGAAACUGCAGAUUUCAGGUUACAAUGAUCAGUGUCUGGGGGACAGCUAUUGACCUCUUGACCAAAUGAAGCACAUAGUGUGGACAGAAACUGUAGACAUCUUGUAUGUAAUCCUAGAGAUCUUUGUGCCUGCUGUUGAAAACUGCAUGGGGUUAUUCAAUCACAACUCAGCGAUUCCAUUCCAUUAAGGCCAGGUGGGUGUGAAGAAGCGUGUGCCUUUGAUCUGAUCUGCAAUGCUUCAUGGGUCUUGCUCGCAUUCAUGUCUUUUGUCUCUGUUCAGAUUCUGAUUUAUCACAUGGAAGCUCUCAUUACCUG